UACAGAGGUCUCAAGCGUUGUUCGGAUUCAUUGGGCGUAAAGGGUGCGCAGGCGGCGCGGUAAGUCGGGUGUGAAAUCUCGGAGCUUAACUCCGAAACUGCAUUCGAUACUGCCGUGCUUGAGGACUGGAGAGGAGACUGGAAUUUACGGUGUAGCGGUGAAAUGCGUAGAUAUCGGGAGGAACAUCAGUGGCGAAGGCGGCUUCCUGGCCCAAUACUGACACUCAGGUGCGACAGCGUGGGGAGCAAACAGG
Molecule: ribosomal RNA, 253 nt
Filed under: uncultured bacterium
Lineage: Bacteria
Description: partial 16S ribosomal RNA
Rfam family: Bacterial small subunit ribosomal RNA
Source: RNAcentral